AUUGAACGCUGGCGGCAGGCCUAACACAUGCAAGUCGGGCGAGAAGCGGAAGGGUGAGGAAUGUAUGGGGAUCUGCCUGAUGGAGGGGGAUAACUCCUGGAAACGGUAGCUAAUACCGCAUACCAUCAGAUGAACCCAUAUGGGAUUAGCUUGUAGGUGAGGGAACGGCUCACCUAGGCGAAGAGCCCUAGCUGGGCUGAGCGGAUGAUCAGCAACACUGGGACUGAGACACGGCCCAGACUCCGCCGGUAGGCAGCAGUGGGGAAGAUUGCACAAUGGGCGCAAGCCUGAUGCAGCCAUGCCGCGUGUAUGAAGAAGGCCUUCGGGGUGUAAAGUACUUUCAGUCGGGAGGCGUUACCGACAGAAGAAGCACCGGCUAACUCCGUGCCAGCAGCCGCGGUAAUAC
RNAcentral lists this ribosomal RNA (406 nucleotides) under uncultured bacterium. Its description in RNAcentral is "partial 16S ribosomal RNA". It matches the Rfam family "Bacterial small subunit ribosomal RNA", at positions 29 to 526 of the family's 1533-position model. The record is from RNAcentral.